GAUCAUGGCUCAGAUUGAACGCUGGCGGCAUGCCUUACACAUGCAAGGUCGAACGGUAACAGGGAGCUUGCUCCGCUGACGAGUGGCGAACGGGUGAGUAAAGUAUCGGAACGUACCUUUCAGUGGGGGAUAACGUAGCGAAAGUUACGCUAAUACCGCAUACGAUCUACGGAUGAAAGCGGGGGAUCGCAAGACCUCGCGCGAUUGGAGCGGCCGAUAUCAGAUUAGGUAGUUGGGUGGGGUAAAGGCUCACCAAGCCAACGAUCUGUAGCUGGUCUGAGAGGACGACCAGCCACACUGGAACUGAGACACGGUCCAGACUCCUACGGGAGGCAGCAGUGGGGAAUUUUGGACAAUGGGCGAAAGCCUGAUCCAGCCAUUCCGCGUGCAGGAAGAAGGCCUUCGGGUUGUAAACUGCUUUUGUACGGAGACGAAAAGGCUCCUCCCUAAUACGGGGGGUUCAUGACGGUACCGUAAGAAUAAGCACCGGCUAACUACGUG
RNAcentral lists this ribosomal RNA (501 nucleotides) under uncultured bacterium. RNAcentral's name for it is "bacterial SSU rRNA". It matches the Rfam family "Bacterial small subunit ribosomal RNA", at positions 15 to 507 of the family's 1533-position model. The record is from RNAcentral.